GGGUUGUGAGGUUAAGCGACUAAGCGUACACGGUGGAUGCCCUGGCAGUCAGAGGCGAUGAAGGGCGUGCUAAUCUGCGAUAAGCGCCGGUAAGGUGAUAUGAACCGUUAUAACCGGCGAUACCCGAAUGGGGAAACCCAGUGUGACUCGUCACACUAUCAUUAACUGAAUCCAUAGGUUAAUGAGGCGAACCGGGGGAACUGAAACAUCUAAGUACCCCGAGGAAAAGAAAUCAACCGAGAUUCCCCCAGUAGCGGCGAGCGAACGGGGAGGAGCCCAGAGCCUGAAUCAGCAUGUGUGUUAGUGGAAGCGUCUGGAAAGGCGCGCGAUACAGGGUGACAGCCCCGUACACAAAAGCGCAUGUGCUGUGAGCUCGAUGAGUAGGGCGGGACACGUGGUAUCCUGUCUGAAUAUGGGGGGACCAUCCUCCAAGGCUAAAUACUCCUGACUGACCGAUAGUGAACCAGUACCGUGAGGGAAAGGCGAAAAGAACCCCGGCGAGGGGAGUGAAAAAGAACCUGAAACCGUGUACGUACAAGCAGUGGGAGCACCCUUUGGGGUGUGACUGCGUACCUUUUGUAUAAUGGGUCAGCGACUUAUAUUCUGUAGCAAGGUUAACCGUAUAGGGGAGCCGUAGGGAAACC
Molecule: ribosomal RNA, 644 nt
Filed under: Salmonella enterica subsp. enterica serovar Newport
Lineage: Bacteria; Pseudomonadati; Pseudomonadota; Gammaproteobacteria; Enterobacterales; Enterobacteriaceae
Description: partial 23S ribosomal RNA
Rfam family: Bacterial large subunit ribosomal RNA
Source: RNAcentral